This 2425-nucleotide long non-coding RNA is filed under the name Manihot esculenta (cassava). RNAcentral describes it as "long non-coding RNA (MESC_LNC009042)". Lineage: Eukaryota; Viridiplantae; Streptophyta; Magnoliopsida; Malpighiales; Euphorbiaceae. The record is from RNAcentral.
CGGCGGCCUAUCCAGUCGGAGGUCCUGCCAGCUGCGGCUGAACCCACAAGUGAGUAUAUAUUAAUCAAGCCUGCCAGGAGUUCUACUUGAACAUCUGAGAUUUUCAGUUCAUCCUUGAUGUAGAUAGAAGCUCCACUCAUCACUCCAAUGUCUACAAACCAAGAAACAUAUUAAUCAACUUUGCAACUAAAACAAGCUGCACUUGCAUGAAAAACAAAUUUAAUAUCAGUUAGAUUUAAUAUUUGUAUCCAUUUCUUUUAUACAAAAUCAGUUAAAAUUAUGAAAAUUAUAAUUUUUACAUGAACUCCAUUUUAUAUUUGUAUCAAGAGAGUACUGUGUAAUGAUCAAGAAGUCUUUUUUUUUUUUCUUUAAAAGCUCACCAUAGCCAAGUAAGGUAGAGGUCAUGGAAGCCAAGAUUGCACAAGCAAGAGCAAACUUGUUUCUCUUGGGCUUCUCUGGUGGAUCAAAAUCUGCAAGUGUUUUCUCUGCAGGUUGGCUUCUUGGAUUGACAUCUCUCUCUGUGUUUGUAUCAGCCAUCUCUCUUCACCUCAGAAAAGAGAGAGAGAGAGAAUUUUAAAAUGGUGAUUAGGUUUUGUGUAAGGUUGUUGUGGAUAAGCUCAAGCAGCCAUGAAGAGCAGAAGUUUGAAAAUAUGGUAGCUCUCCAUGGGAAACUGGAGUUGCUUAUAUAGACAAACGGCUUCGGACAUUAUCUUGUAAUAACUAAAAUAGCAUAAUGAAGUGAAAAGAAAAAAAAAUUCAUAUGGGCGAGCUGCUGUGCUGACUCGUUUACUUUGAAAUAGACGGAUUUUAAUUUUAUCGUAGAUUACAACAUGAAUGACUAAGGGUGUGCAAUAUUUCUAAAUUUCUUAAUUAAAAAAAUCUAAUUCAAAUAAAAAAAUUAUUAAAAAAUUCAAAUCGUAUCAAACUAGAAUUAUUUUUCUUUUUUUCUAAUUUGUCACUCACAUCUUCAACUCGAUGCCGUACUACAUUGAAUAUCCAAUUUCAUACAUAUAUUUUUUAAUUAUAUUAAAAUAUAUUAUAUAGUUUAAAUAAAAUAACUUUUGAAAAAGGAGAUGCAAACUUUGCAAUGUUUUCCUCAUUUUCUUCUGAAGGUUUAUCCUUCUUUCUCUCUCGGUUCUGGUUGAUUUAUCCUGCCUAAUUCCGGAUGAGAAAAGCUUAUGUUUUUCCUUUCCGAUUGUGGAUUUUUGCUUUCCUCAUGGCCGAGAAGAUGUAGAUAAUUUUUUGCCUCCUCUAUAGAUUUUUGUCUAUAUAAAUAAAAUAUAUAUUGAUUUGUCUUUUCUGUUGAAUUUGCAUUUUGUUUUUACUCUUGCAUAUUGAUUCUUUUGCAAGUAGUCGCAGCAGUUGAGGGAGUUGGAGACGCCGUUUCUAGAUCUGUGGUUUCUCUGGCUAUUUGUAGGACUUUCUCGCGAGUCGUCAUUUUAGCUUGGUCUGAACAUCUCUGAGGAUAUUCAUGGAGCCUCAGUCGUUUCGGCUUCCCGAUCCUUCAUCAUCUACAAGAGAUUGAGAUGGCGUUGAACUCAAUUCCGCUGCCUAUCGAGAUCUCCAGUCACUCCCUUCCUCCUUCCCGUUUGCACAAAUAUAGAGUUCUUUAGUCGUUUUUCUGGAGCAGAUCUUCCUAUUUGGUAGAUUGCUGUCGUGUUCUCUCAGUAAUGUUCCGGAUCAUUGGCUUGGGCAGAGAAGACUUGUGGUUGCUUCUAAGUUGGUUGCUUUACUGCUCGGGUUUUUCUUCUCACGGUCGGACCUCUGAUUAGCCUAGGGUUUUCCUAAUUUUUUGGAAAAAUUACUUUUUAGUCUCUGAGGUUUAACGUAAUUAACACUUCUGUCCCUCUAUUUUGACGACCCAACACAUAAGUCCCUCACUUUCUCUUUCGUCCAAAUUCGUAGUCCUUUCGUCCAUUUAAAUCGUUUGGUCAAAGAGUCAACGGUGAGAGGUGAUAAUUUUUUCUAAAAAUACCCUUCUCUCAAUGUGAAAUUCUUAUUUUUUUUUUCUUUCAUGUUUUCUCAAGAAGAAAAAGAAGAAGAAGAAAAAGAAGUUGCAGAAAUGGUAGGAAGAAGAAGAAAGAAGAAGAAGUUGCAAAAAGGGUAAGAAGAAGAAGAAGAAAAAGAAAAAAAAGAAGAAAGAAGUUGCAAAAAGGGUAGGAAGAAGAAGAAAAAGUGUUAAUUACGUGUUGGAUAGAAAAGAAAAUGAGGGAUUUAAAUGUUGGAUCGCCAAAAUAGAGGGACAAAAGUGUUAAUUACGUUAAAUUUCAGGGAUUAAAAAGUAAUUUUUUCUAAUUUUUUUUUAUUUUGCGGGCUAUUGAGGGUUUGAGGAGGUGGUUGUUUGAAUGCUAAAAACUGCCCAAUUUUAGAAAUAUUAUAAUCUAUUAUUUUUUACAUGUAAAUUAAAAACUUUAUUUUUCAGAUA